AGUCGGAAUAUUGGAGUCAGAUUUUAGCAGAGUUGGAUUUUCAAAUUUUUACUCAGCCCUAAUGAAAACCACCAAAUACAUCACUCAACUUUCAACUCAGCAGCUCCUUCAUCUAUUAUUUCGAGUAUCCUGCUAGGAUUGUUCAUCCGAACCGGAUUUUUAUCCAGCCCGGUCCGAAACCCGGAAAACCGAAUUCUGGUUCUGGAUUUCGAAUCCGGACCGAAACCCGGAUUAUAAAAUCCGGACCUACACGGUCUGGAUACGGGUUUAAAAUCCGGGUACUGGGUUUAAAACCCAGUUUUAUGUUUACAAACCUAGUUUUAACUUUACCUUUGUUUCCGCCGCUCUCUCUCUCUCUCUCUCUCUCUCUCUCUCUCUCUCUCUCUCUCUCUCUCUCUCUCUCUCUCUCUCUCUCUCUCUCUCUCAAGUCCCAUUCGAGUUUCUGGCCCCUCUACCAGAUUGCAAGGUUGAAUCCUUGCUUCGCAGCGUGCUGGAAGUGAAUCUCCUAAGCCCCAUUCGAGUUUCUGACUGGUCGAGGGAGGAGGCAACCGUCGGGUGCUUGGGAGAGCUCACGACAUUCCUGUGCUGCUCAAGGACAGCAUAUCCACCAAGAACACGGCUGAGUUGUGCGCGCGCUGCCGAGAUCGAAGACCACAGAAGGUUGCCCGGCAUCAAGACAUUGAUCAAUCUAGUGGAGCUGAAGAUGAAAUGUCUGAUUGAUUUAUUCUAAUCCAAAUUCUGCUGCCUUGAAGUAAAAAGUUCCCAAUUUUUUCAAGCAGGUAGACUGGUGUCAGGUGAACUGGUGUUUUAUUGUGCUAAUGCCACAAAGAUGUGAGGUAAAGUAGUAAUAUAUCUAAAUGUAUGUUCAUUCCAGCUUUCAAUUAUAUGUAUAAACAUAUUUUUAGAUUGUAGCUGGUUAUGGUUGAUAUAUAGCCUUUUUUCCUUUAAUACCAUGGAAUAAAAAAAGUGAAAAUAGGUCAUGUCCUGUAAAAGGAAACCAGACAGUAGAAUUUUGUUGAGUUCUCUGCCGAGUUCAUUCAAAUCAUUUUGAAGGUGUUUGGUAUGGCAAUUUAAGCAUUUAUAGUUUAUUAUAUACUAUUUUGUUGUCUUUUCUUUUCAUAUUUGAACAAAGAUUUUUGUGGACUCAUUACUUAAAACUAUUGUUCUUGAGAAAUGAUUGGAAAUUGCUAAUACUUCCGUAUUCUAGCCACCAGCAGUUGACAUACAUACAUACAUUCUAUGAUGCAAAAACAUGUUUUGAAAGUAGACAAACUAAUUCUUUAGUGGAGAAGGAUGAUAACAAGUCUAUUGGCAACGGUGGGAGCACAUCAAAUGCAUCACAAACUGUGCCAGUUGAUUCUGAAGAGAAUGAUGAUAUGGAAAGUGUUUUUUCUGGGAAGAAAAAAAAAACUAUCCGAGGUUCUUGAUGCUGCUGUUGCCUACAGAUUUUUCAAGUGUUGCUGAUGGAGUUUGAAAUCACAAGAAAUUAGAAUGUUCUUAGCAAAUUAGUUCAUGUUUUUUGUUGUGUAUUGGAGUUUGAUUAAAACAAUGUAGGUGUUUUGUAAUGUUCUUAGUAAAUUAGUUCAAAUAAUAUAAUAUGUAGUAGAUUGCAUCGGGAA
Molecule: long non-coding RNA, 1619 nt
Organism: Carya illinoinensis
Lineage: Eukaryota; Viridiplantae; Streptophyta; Magnoliopsida; Fagales; Juglandaceae
Exons: 2
Source: RefSeq, a predicted model, not a curated record